Molecule: long non-coding RNA, 315 nt
Organism: Rhipicephalus sanguineus (brown dog tick)
Lineage: Eukaryota; Metazoa; Arthropoda; Arachnida; Ixodida; Ixodidae
Exons: 3
Source: RefSeq, a predicted model, not a curated record
UAAGUUGAAGAAAGGCGCUGAACUAAGUAACUUGGUUAUUCAUUGCGUGGUGCUGUUGUGCAGGAACCGAUAGCCCGGGCGGCGUGUUGGCACAGCGAGGAUAAUGAACGAGAGACCCGAUAGACAGCGAUGACAGCUGUUCACGGCACCGACACAGAGGACAGAUUGCAGUGCAAGGUAGGAGCGGUCUUCCUGCAAGCCCAGACAAGCCAUAUUGAGUGGUUUCAAAUACAGCAACUGUACCACCACGACAGUGCAGCACAAGAGACCCUAUCGUCAGUGCUGAGUCAGAAAUUAAAUAGAAAAGUGCUUUCU